This 253-nucleotide ribosomal RNA is filed under the name uncultured bacterium. Its description in RNAcentral is "partial 16S ribosomal RNA". It matches the Rfam family "Bacterial small subunit ribosomal RNA", at positions 524 to 776 of the family's 1533-position model. The record is from RNAcentral.
UACGGAGGAUCCAAGCGUUAUCCGGAUUCAUUGGGUUUAAAGGGUGCGUAGGCGGAAUGAUAAGUCAGUGGUGAAAGCCUGCAGCUUAACUGCAGAACUGCCAUUGAUACUGUCAAUCUUGAGUACAUUUGAUGUGGGCGGAAUGUGUCAUGUAGCGGUGAAAUGCUUAGAUAUGACACAGAACACCGAUUGCGAAGGCAGCUCACAAAACUGUAACUGACGCUGAGGCUCGAAAGUGCGGGGAGCAAACAGG